Molecule: ribosomal RNA, 144 nt
Filed under: uncultured bacterium
Lineage: Bacteria
Description: partial 16S ribosomal RNA
Rfam family: Bacterial small subunit ribosomal RNA
Source: RNAcentral
UACGGGAGGCAGCAGUCGAGAAUCAUUCGCAAUGGGMGAAAGCCKGACGGUGSGACGCCGCGUGGAGGAUGAAGGCCCUMGGGUUGUAAACUCCUGUCAUCAGAGAGUAAUGCUUCMCGGAGUAACUGCCGUGGAGASUAAUUC